UGGCGGCGUGCCUAACACAUGCAAGUCGAGCGGGGACGGAGCGUAGCAAGUACGGGCCGUUCUAGCGGCGGACGGGUGAGUAACGCGUGAGCAACCUGUACCCAACGAGGGGAUAACGAACCGAAGUUCACUAAUACCGCAUGAGACCACACUGCCCCAUGGCAGAGAGGUCAAAGGAGCAAUCCGGUUUGGGGUGGGCUCGCGUCUGAUUAGCCAGUUGGUGGGGUAACGGCCUACCAAAGCAACGAUCAGUAGCCGACCUGAGAGGGUGAUCGGCCACAUUGGAACUGAGACACGGUCCAAACUCCUACGGGAGGCAGCAGUGGGGAAUAUUGGGCAAUGGGGGAAACCCUGACCCAGCAACGCCGCGUGAAGGAAGAAGGUUUUCGGAUCGUAAACUUCUAUCCUUGGUGAAAAUACAAGAUGGUAGCCAAGAAGGAAGCCCCGGCUAACUACGUGCCAGCAGCUGC
RNAcentral lists this ribosomal RNA (470 nucleotides) under uncultured bacterium. RNAcentral's name for it is "bacterial SSU rRNA". It matches the Rfam family "Bacterial small subunit ribosomal RNA", at positions 37 to 518 of the family's 1533-position model. The record is from RNAcentral.